CAGAGUGGGGUCCCUGUCCCACCCCAUCCCCCCAGAACUCCAGCCCACCCGGGCAGCUGGGGGGAUCCACCUCCAUGGAAUGGCACCGUACCUUCCUCAGGACAAAGGUGAUCAUCCUGCAGGGAUGGAUGACACAAUCCAGGCCUUAGGCAGCUAUCGAGACUGAUGAUGGGGGUAUCAGGGGGCAGGAACAAGAAGGGUGGCAGGAGCGGGCAGGAGCAGCGUGCAGGGUGUGCUGACCCCAGGGCCAACAGUUGUGUUGUGCUGCUUGCUGGCUGCUGGCAGUUCCAGGUGGGACAUGGAUUGUGACGUGACAGUUGAGCUAGAGAGCCUUUGGUUCCAUGCUUAGCAACGUUCCCCCAGACCAUGGUGCUCAGAGCCCUGUUGCAAAGAUGGGGCAUCCACAGCCUGGGCCAGUGCCUCAGCAGCCUCAGUGGAAAAGAGCAGCUUCCUGAGAUCCAACGUCAAUCAGCCUCCUGCAGCUGAAAGCCAUCCUCCCUUGUGCUGUUGCCACAGGCCCUGUUGAACACUCUGUCCCAACCUUUCUUGUGGGACCCUUGCAGUCCUGCAGAGCUGCAGUCAGGCCUCCCCAGGGUCUCCUCUUUCCAGGCUGAGCAUCCCCAGCCCCACAUGGACAGCCGGCAGUGGGAUCAGGGGCAGUCCAGGCUGGAGUCCAGUAGCAUCAGGAACGGAGAGAUGGAAGCGUUAGGCCCAGGUUUGGCUGUUUGAAAGGAAGCUUGGCACAAUAUCCAUUGUCUUCUCCACUUGUGAAACACCAAGCGGAGUCUGGGCAAGCUGAUGAUGCAGAGGAAAACCUGCAAAUAUACUGGUGAUCCUGAGCCUGGAGGAUGCAGUUAAACCCAGCCAAAAGUAAUUUCUGGAAAGUCAAGCCUGCUGUACAUUUUCUUGAGUUUGGCUAUGCAGCUUUCACCUGAGUCUUUUAAAAAAGCAAACAAAAAACUCAAACCAAAACAGACAAAAACCCAAACAAACAAACCCACGCAAACCAAUCAAACAAAUAGAUUAAAAAACCCCAAAUAAAACCAAAGGGAACGAGGAGUUAGUAUUACUUGUGAGGAUAUCACAGCAGGCAAAUGUCUGCUUCCCACCAUAAAAAGCCACAGAAAACACCUGCUCCAAAAUAUGCCCAAGAGGAGAACCAUAAAAGUGAUACAUAGCAACUUUGGGGGCAGCUCCCCAUUAAGGUGAGGGAUGAGCACACAGUGGUACAGAUCCAGCAUUCCCCACCCUCCAGGCUGCUCUUUGCUCCUGAUGCAAGACCCUUGCAGGUCUGUGGCCCCUCUCAGUGCAUUAUAAAUCAUUCCCAGAGCUCUCAGUUGAGCCACUGGCAUUUCCAGAGCGAGAUCCAGGCACAAUCCUACUGCCUGCUGAGCCUCUCUGGGAGAUCCUGAGCAUCUUCCUGCCUAGAGCCACAAAAGAGCUCCAGCUCUCCCUGAACUGGGUUUUCAGGGGAGGUUUCCAUAUCCCUGUGAGAUGUGUUCAUCCCUCAACACAUCUGAUUUUAUGUACCAUGAUGUGUUUGGGUUCCUUCCUUACUCCUGUGUGCCAGUGAGAAACCACCCAUGUGAAUGGAGGGUAUUGUGAGCAGGAAAAUGCAUUCCUGGGUUGCUUUUUUGCUUCACUGUCACUCAGCUGAAUAGGGUCCUUAUCUUUUAGGGACUUACAAGAAUGGGUAGGAAUUUUGGCUCUGAGAGGAGCAGAAAGCACAUUUUCUGCACCACAUUCCCAACAGAUGCCGUUUCCCUGGGAAAAUAGUGACUGUCAUUCAUGUUCCUGGGAAGAUUGUGAAGAGCCAUUCAGAGAUGACAGGUCCACCUGGCCUUUGGCUUUGUGUACCUCAUUUCACAUGCCCAGUUUCAAGGGCCAUGAAAAGAGGCCACCUUUUGCCCUGGCAGUGCUGAUCCCUCCUGCUGAUGCCCUCCCUCAGCGUGGGAGGAAUGCAGAGCUGGUCUCAGAGAAGCACAGGGCUUGAGGGUUCCUGUGUCAUUUCCGUGUGUUGGUAAAUAUUGUUGAACCA
Molecule: non-coding RNA, 2038 nt
Organism: Taeniopygia guttata (zebra finch)
Lineage: Eukaryota; Metazoa; Chordata; Aves; Passeriformes; Estrildidae
Source: RefSeq, a predicted model, not a curated record